Molecule: long non-coding RNA, 2980 nt
Filed under: Mus musculus (house mouse)
Lineage: Eukaryota; Metazoa; Chordata; Mammalia; Rodentia; Muridae
Description: long non-coding RNA chr11:21117547-21120527
Source: RNAcentral
GAUGAGCAAGAAAUACACUUCCAAAUGUAAAGAGAGUUUGUUAUCCAAAGAGUGGCAGGCAGGUCCUUGGAUUUUGUUAUGGCAUUAGGCAUCACAACUGCAACUACAUUCUGUUUGGUAUGAGUAUUGAACCUGUCAUGUCCGGUUUCUUGAGCAAUCCUCAGCCUAGAAUAACAUGACAGCUAGCAUCCUCAGAAAGAUCCCAGUAUGUAUUCAGACUGUCUAAAAAGAGUUUUAGGGUCUGGGUGUAUCUGUACUGGACAUAAACAGGACAGCUGAGCAUAUUUACUUCACUGUGUCCUAAGUGUUCCUCAUGCCAGCAGAAAGAUCAGAAACAAUGUUGUCAAGAUUCCCUCAAGGAGAGUUUGGGACAUGUUGACACAUUUAUGGAAUGCUGGGAGGAAUAGAUACCAACUUGUCAGCUUUAAGAGCGGCUUAUUUUAUGCCAAGGUACUAGUGAUUGUGACAGUAUUGUCUUAAAUAUUAUAGACCUGCUAUGAAUCAGAGCUGUUGUCCUGUGGGUGCAUUGGGAGAGAAGGCCCAGAUAAAUUUAGGGCCAGCAAAAUUGUUCUUAUAGCCGGGCAUGGUGGCACACACCUUUAAUCCCAGCACUUGGAAGGCAGAGGCAGGCGGAUUUCUGAGUUCAGUUCGAGGACAGCCAAGGCUAUACAGAGAAACCGUUUCUGUCUCAGGGGAAAAAAAUUGUUUUUAUGACUUCAAAAAAGAUAAACUAAUUCUAGGCAAGACUUUUGAUACUAAUUAAAAUUAAUAUGAGCACUUAUUGACUUCGGAAUCAAGUGUCACUAGUAAUGGUACUAUUCAGAAUAGCAUACUUUAAUUAAAUCUUAGAUUGUCAAAUUAGAGAGCCAUUUCCAUAAUAGCUGUUAACCAUGAGUACCAGCAUCAAUUUUGGGGCAGGUAGAAUGAACUUUAUUCUUCUUCUAUGUGUGUAGGUUUUGUUUUUGUUUUUGUUUUCUGCAUGUUGGUUUGCACCCCAUGCAUGCCUGGUGCCCUCAGAGGCCAGAAGAGGACAUCAGAUAUGCUGGAAUUGCAGUUAGAGUUUACAGUUAUAAGUGCUGAGAAUCAAACCUCAGGUCCUCUGGAAGAGCAACCCCUGAACCAUCUCUAGCCCUGGCUAGAGAACUUCAGAAAGAGAAUAUCAACAUGCAGGUUCACAUGGAACUUCAGGUUAAUGGGUAGGCUGUGUAAAUGACUUGCUUGUGCAGCUUAGUGAGCAAGUAUAAAUCAGCAUUUUUCUUGAUUUAAUUUUACCAAAUUGAAAACGGAAAGCAUGUAUAAUUAUGCUUGGUUAUAUAGAGAAAAAGGCUUGCUUAGUAUAGUCCUAUUCCUGGUAAAUAAAGGGUUUGGGGUUUUUGUUUGUUUGUUUGUUUUUGUUUUGUUUGUUUUGUUUGUUUGGGGGUUGGUUUUUUUUUUUUGGUUUGUUUUUUUUUUUUUUUUCCUAAAAGGGAAAUGGAGAGGGAAUUUGCAAGUGCGGUGAUCUGAGAUCAACAAAACCUCUUACAUGGGAUGCCUUCCAUAGGUAUUAUAUAAAGCUCAGUUCCACCUUACUUCCAGGUAGUGUUGUGAUUUCCAUGACCACAAACAAUCUAACUUAUUUAUCUACCUGUCUAUUCUAUCUAUUGUUCGUACUUUCUGAAAAAUUGAACCUUGUACGUGGUGGCAAGCAUUCCACCAACAGAACUACACCUUAGCAUUAAUUUAUUUUUAAAAUAUAAAGCUAGAAAUUAACACCUGAUUUUAUGUCCUGGGUAAUGUAUUUUGUGACCAGAUCAGGAGGAAAAAUAAAAUUCAUUUCAUAGUACUAAAUAGAUAUUUUGCACGUGUGAAUUUUAUUGAUUUUGGUUUCUUAAAUGGAGUGUUUAAGUAAUUGUUUAUUAUACUGCUCUGUUUUUUAUAAAAGCAGGCUGUUUUAAUUACUAUCAUGAGAUAAUAAUUCACCAUCUUAAUUAUAUUUUCAGCAUUUACGGAGCAGGUACAUAGUUAAUUUGAAUGGCUUUUUAAGAAGGAGGAUAUUUUUCUUUUGAAGUACUUUAUUCUAUAAUUUGCUACUAAGCCUGUGUUAAAAAUUACUCUCUGCUUCCUCUUACUUCCAUUUCUUCCCUUUUGGGCCACAUAGGAGAAGCAAAUUCUUGCUUCAGCCAGUAGAAGCUCUACUCCCAUAGUGUUUACCUACUUGGCAUGACGCAGGCCCACCUACACACAUUCUAAGGUGUUUCAGUGAAAGAGCACUGAACAGACAGCUCUGUGCAAUGUGUGUGGUUCCCAGUACAAUGGGCAGAUGCCUUCUCCUACCUGUAUUUUAUCCUCUGACCGAGGUGGUGUAGCGUGUGGCUGUGGUGAUAGCAACAGAAGUAAAAGGUGGGUUCUCUGGGGCUUCAUUCUGAGGCUUAGGGUAAAGGUAAACUUGCAAGAGGGAAUUAACUGAAGCAUAAUCAGACUGCUUUUAAUUGCUACUCUUUUCAUACUUAGCUUUAGAAUUUGUGUUAUAUAUGAUUAAAUUUCCUUCUGUCUUAGGACAAAAGUUGGAUAAAUCUCAAAUCCAAAGUUUCUGUGUUUUUAGAAUUUAACUCCUAUCAGCAGUGAAAAAAGCCUGAGAACUAUACUGACCGCAGGUGUUAUGGCCUGUUAAUUAUACACCAGCAGGAAAUGGAAAGCUGUUCUCAUUUUUAAUGUUUGAAGACUAGCCUACAGUACUUAGUUUUAAUGUUGUUAAUCAAUAUUUUCCUUCCAAGUUUGAGAAUUGUGUUGUUCUCUGAAGAAGUUUAUUUAGUAGAUAGAGCAUUGUGCAUUGGUCAGCUCUGCUUUACAGCAAUUUAAGUAGUGCUUCUAUCUCAAUAUCCUAAUUUGCGAUUAUGGUAAAGAGAUUGAAUAGUGUUAUAUCUAAUCGAUUUUUAACCACAGGGAAGCUUUCCACCAAAAAGUAACAAUAAUUGUUUCCCAUCAGGGUUCUGUUUUCACC